Molecule: ribosomal RNA, 253 nt
Filed under: uncultured bacterium
Lineage: Bacteria
Description: partial 16S ribosomal RNA
Rfam family: Bacterial small subunit ribosomal RNA
Source: RNAcentral
UACGAAGGGGGCUAGCGUUGUUCGGAUUUACUGGGCGUAAAGGGCGCGCAGGCGGCGCAUUUUGUCAGGCGUGAAAGCCCCGGGCUUAACCUGGGGACUGCGUUUGAUACGGAUGGGCUAGAGUUCGGGAGAGGAGAGUGGAAUUCCCAGUGUAGAGGUGAAAUUCGUAGAUAUUGGGAAGAACACCGGUGGCGAAGGCGGCUCUCUGGACCGAGACUGACGCUGAGGCGCGAAAGCGUGGGGAGCAAACAGG